UGACGACCGGCGCACGGGUGAGUAACACGUAUCCAACCUACCAUCCCUUGAGGGAUAGCCUUUCGAAAGAAAGAUUAAUACCCGAUACUUUAGCGAAAGGCAUCUUAUUGCUAUUAAAGAAUUUCGGUGUUUGAUGGGGAUGCGUUCCAUUAGAUUGUUGGUGAGGUAACGGCUCACCAAGUCUUCGAUGGAUAGGGGUUCUGAGAGGAAGGUCCCCCACAUUGGAACUGAGACACGGUCCAAACUCCUACGGGAGGCAGCAGUGAGGAAUAUUGGUCAAUGGACGAGAGUCUGAACCAGCCAAGUAGCGUGAAGGAUGAAGGCCCUAUGGGUCGUAAACUUCUUUUAUAGGGGAAUAAAGUGCGGAACGUGUUCCGCUUUGUAUGUACCCUACGAAUAAGGAUCGGCUAACUCCGUGCCAGCAGCCGCGGUAAUACGGAGGAUCCGAGCGUUAUCCGGAUUUAUUGGGUUUAAAGGGAGCGUAGGUGGACGUAUAAGUCAGUUGUGAAAGUUUGCGGCUCAACCGUAAAAUUGCAGUUGAUACUGUAUGUCUUGAGUGUACAAGAGGUGGGCGGAAUUCGUGGUGCAGCGGUGAAAUGCUUAGAUAUCACGAAGAACUCCGAUUG
Molecule: ribosomal RNA, 626 nt
Filed under: uncultured Bacteroides sp.
Lineage: Bacteria; Pseudomonadati; Bacteroidota; Bacteroidia; Bacteroidales; Bacteroidaceae
Description: bacterial SSU rRNA
Rfam family: Bacterial small subunit ribosomal RNA
Source: RNAcentral